Molecule: ribosomal RNA, 405 nt
Filed under: uncultured bacterium
Lineage: Bacteria
Description: partial 16S ribosomal RNA
Rfam family: Bacterial small subunit ribosomal RNA
Source: RNAcentral
AUCGAACGCUGGCGGCAGGUUUAAUACAUGCAAGUCGAACGUGUGGCGGACGGGUGAGUAAUGCUUGGGAAUCUGGCUUAUGGAGGGGGAUAACGACGGGAAACUGUCGCUAAUACCGCGUACCAUAGGAUGAGCCCAAGUGGGAUUAGGUAGUUGGUGGGGUAAUGGCCUACCAAGCCGACGAUCUCGAGCUGGUCUGAGAGGAUGACCAGCCACACCGGGACUGAGGCACGGCCCGGACUCCUACGGGAGGCAGCAGUGGGGAAUAUUGGGGAAUGGGGGCAACCUGACUAAGCGAUGCCGCGUGAAGGAGGAAGGCCUUCGGGUUGUAAAGUUCUUUCGGUGACGAGGCGUUGAUCACAGAGGAAGCACCGGCUAACUCCGUGCCAGCAGCCGCGGUAAUUC